AUACAGGGUGACAGCCCCGUACACAAAAAUGCACAUGCUGUGAGCUCGAUGAGUAGGGCGGGACACGUGGUAUCCUGUCUGAAUAUGGGGGGACCAUCCUCCAAGGCUAAAUACUCCUGACUGACCGAUAGUGAACCAGUACCGUGAGGGAAAGGCGAAAAGAACCCCGGCGAGGGGAGUGAAAAAGAACCUGAAACCGUGUACGUACAAGCAGUGGGAGCACAGAGCAAUCUGUGUGACUGCGUACCUUUUGUAUAAUGGGUCAGCGACUUAUAUUCUGUAGCAAGGUUAACCGAAUAGGGGAGCCGAAGGGAAACCGAGUCUUAACUGGGCGUUAAGUUGCAGGGUAUAGACCCGAAACCCGGUGAUCUAGCCAUGGGCAGGUUGAAGGUUGGGUAACACUAACUGGAGGACCGAACCGACUAAUGUUGAAAAAUUAGCGGAUGACUUGUGGCUGGGGGUGAAAGGCCAAUCAAACCGGGAGAUAGCUGGUUCUCCCCGAAAGCUAUUUAGGUAGCGCCUCGUGAAUUCAUCUCCGGGGGUAGAGCACUGUUUCGGCAAGGGGGUCAUCCCGACUUACCAACCCGAUGCAAACUGCGAAUACCGGAGAAUGUUAUCACGGGAGACACACGGCGGGUGCUAACGUCCGUCGUGAAGAGGGAAACAACCCAGACCGCCAGCUAAGGUCCCAAAGUCAUGGUUAAGUGGGAAACGAUGUGGGAAGGCCCAGACAGCCAGGAUGUUGGCUUAGAAGCAGCCAUCAUUUAAAGAAAGCGUAAUAGCUCACUGGUCGAGUCGGCCUGCGCGGAAGAUGUAACGGGGCUAAACCAUGCACCGAAGCUGCGGCAGCGACGCUUAUGCGUUGUUGGGUAGGGGAGCGUUCUGUAAGCCUGUGAAGGUGUACUGUGAGG
This 911-nucleotide ribosomal RNA is filed under the name Escherichia coli. Its description in RNAcentral is "partial 23S ribosomal RNA". It matches the Rfam family "Bacterial large subunit ribosomal RNA", at positions 357 to 1268 of the family's 2925-position model. The record is from RNAcentral. Lineage: Bacteria; Pseudomonadati; Pseudomonadota; Gammaproteobacteria; Enterobacterales; Enterobacteriaceae.